UGAAAUCGGAUAUUGUUUUCCAACCAAACGUACGUGUGGGAGAUGCAGGCCGUUGGAUCACGGAGUAACGAGGGCCCCACUCUUCGAUCACUCGCCGCAACGGUCUUCGUGGUUACCGUGUCGUCGCGGGUCACAGUCGACGCCACCACCUCGCCUCCUCCCCCAUUCCAAUCCCAAACGCUUUGGCCCCACCAUCAUUUAUUUAGCAGGUUCGCAUAAUAUAUAAUACAAGGCUGCAGAAUGGAGUGGCCUCGCAAUUAACGACGCACACGAGCAGGGAGUUAAGGAUGUGUCUCGGAAUAUAUAUGUGUUUUCUCAUGAAUUAACACGCAAAAAAAAAAGAAAAAAAGGAAAAAAAAUGGUGUUUCUCGUUAUCGUCUUACUUUUACGUCCCUUGGAACCGUCGUCGCGUGCUUCUCUUUCCUCCGCUUCUUCGCGACCAAACACACAGCCGGAGGGAGGGAUUAGAUGAGAUCGCGGCAUCGGAAGGGAAGAUUUGAAGGGUUA
RNAcentral lists this long non-coding RNA (507 nucleotides) under Musa acuminata (dwarf banana). RNAcentral's name for it is "long non-coding RNA (MACU_LNC002093)". Lineage: Eukaryota; Viridiplantae; Streptophyta; Magnoliopsida; Zingiberales; Musaceae. The record is from RNAcentral.